AGGGCUGCAUCCAGUGCUAGUCCUACUCAGAGGAGGCCCAUUGAAAUUAAGGACCAACUUAGGCUCAUUAUUUGGUCUACUCUGAGUAGGGCUAGCAUUAUAUACAGCCCG
Podarcis lilfordi (Lilford's wall lizard) is the source of this 111-nucleotide non-coding RNA. NCBI's taxonomy places the organism in Eukaryota, Metazoa, Chordata, Lepidosauria, Squamata, Lacertidae. The record is from the annotation of a GenBank genome assembly.